Molecule: long non-coding RNA, 740 nt
Organism: Sciurus carolinensis (gray squirrel)
Lineage: Eukaryota; Metazoa; Chordata; Mammalia; Rodentia; Sciuridae
Exons: 3
Source: RefSeq, a predicted model, not a curated record
AUAGAGACUCGUCCUCAGACUCCUCCCUCCUCCCGAGCUCGCGGCCCCGCCCUUUCCCACCCCGGGGCUGCUCCCUCCACCACGCUGCGUGCCGAGAGCAUCGAUGAGCCCAUCUAGGCGCCGCCUGGCUCCCUGCUCUCAACCCGACACUGGGCAGAUCCCCCUCACCCGGUGCGUACCCAGCGGACGUGCACGCUGAGCAGCUCUCACUGGCGCCUCCCAAGCCUGGAAGAUCGGAAACCUACCUGGCCACCAGAAGGAUACCGGGUCCAGAGCUCACAGUGACUUAACUACCCCUGGCAAGGCAAUAAGAGGUGAACAAACCUGGGGACCCAGAGAGUACACAGACUCCCUACUCCAGGAAUCUGGAGCAAACAGAGUGGACAAAGACUGGACAGCAGCUGGUAUAUCAACACCCAUGCCUCGUUCUGGGAUAGAGAGACCAGUAUGUUUGGGGAAUGGAGGUCAUAGUCUUCCACACACACCCUCCCUGGGACCAGCUGCACCCUGUUCAUCCCUGCCUGGUCUUAAGACCUCUGUCUCACCACUUACUUCUUCUUGGGCCUUGCCUUCCCCUCCUUCACAUCUGCCAUCAACAGAAGAUCAUUGAAGACUGCUCUUGAAGGCCUAGUAUGGGAGACCAUAGAGACCCUUCUGCCAGGGCUAGGGAAAAUCAGAAGCCCAGAGCCAACAGUUAAAUGGGAGAGAGAAGGGAUCAGAGGACCUGCGCAGACUAGAAC